This 345-nucleotide unclassified non-coding RNA is filed under the name soil metagenome. RNAcentral's name for it is "partial contains 5.8S ribosomal RNA, internal transcribed spacer 2, and large subunit ribosomal RNA". The stretch from base 1 to 120 matches the Rfam family "5.8S ribosomal RNA", at positions 35 to 154 of the family's 154-position model. The record is from RNAcentral.
GAUGAAGAACGUAGCGAAAUGCGAUACGUAAUGUGAAUUGCAGAAUUCAGUGAAUCAUCGAGUCUUUGAACGCACAUUGCGCCCCCUGGUAUUCCGGGGGGCAUGCCUGUCCGAGCGUCAUUGCUGCCCUCAAGCACGGCUUGUGUGUUGGGCCUCCGUCCUCCUCCCGGGGGACGGGCCCGAAAGGCAGCGGCGGCACCGCGUCCGGUCCUCGAGCGUAUGGGGCUUCGUCACCCGCUCUUGUAGGCCCGGCCGGCGCUUGCCGACACAUCAAUCUUUUUUCCAGGUUGACCUCUGAUCAGGUAGGGAUACCCGCUGAACUUAAGCAUAUCAAUAAGCGGAGGA